ACACCCAAAGAUUCUACAAUGACA
This 24-nucleotide non-coding RNA is filed under the name Arabidopsis thaliana (thale cress). Lineage: Eukaryota; Viridiplantae; Streptophyta; Magnoliopsida; Brassicales; Brassicaceae. The record is from RNAcentral.